This is a non-coding RNA of Acanthosepion pharaonis, 98 nucleotides long. NCBI's taxonomy places the organism in Eukaryota, Metazoa, Mollusca, Cephalopoda, Sepiida, Sepiidae. The record is from the annotation of a GenBank genome assembly.
UUGAAACACUGGUUCCUGUAAAAUCACCAAAGUUAAGCAAUGCUGAGCCUGAUCAGUAUCUAGAUGGGUGACCAUUUGGGAAUACUAGGUGCUGUAAG